Molecule: long non-coding RNA, 2170 nt
Organism: Sapajus apella (tufted capuchin)
Lineage: Eukaryota; Metazoa; Chordata; Mammalia; Primates; Cebidae
Exons: 2
Source: RefSeq, a predicted model, not a curated record
GACGUGUCUUCUGGGAGUCAUCCUGUUUGGAUCAUGCAUCCCCACUAUGACUGAAUGGACAGGGGACUUGCAAUGCGAUUGUGAAAAUACAACUUCGUGUGUUUUUAGCCUUUAAGAUGAGGGACUGUGAUUCUGGGAAACCAAACCUUAACAAAGUGUAGGGCCCUGGGAAAUGGAAGGACCUGUGUCCUAGGCAGCUGUGGGUCUUGCUGAUUAACUGGUUAUCAACUCCCCAGAUUUCCUCAGCACCUGUCAUUAUUGGCACAUUGCAGGCACUCAGAUUUUUCUUUAACUAAGCUAUCUGGAGAAAGCUAAUUUUGCUUUAUAGAAGCAUGUGAGUGAUAGUGUUUCUAACACAGGACAUCAGAAGAAGUUCAAACAUGGCCUUGGUGUGGGUGACAGAUGAUAGGUGGAUUGCAGUUACCUGAUAGGAACUGGGAAUGAUGGAACCAACAUGGUGGCGGAUUUACUCUCAUCUCCCUGACUGUUGGCGGAGAAAGGCCUGCCUCUGGCUUGUCCGGUCUGAUACUAAAGGAGAGGAUGAGCUGUUCUUCAGAGGCUAUGGGCUUUGAAUAUAUCAUGCAGCCAUAAAUCCCAGAAGCAGUUGCAUGUAUUAGCUUAGAAAUAAAUAGGCCUUGGAGGCACAGGGUAAAAGCCUCCUACUUCUGCCUGUGCUGGCAUUUGUCUGUUUCUUUGUUUCAUUUUUAGUUUCUAAAUAUUGAUUAGCUUUAGUGAGUGCUCACUGGCUCUUGUGGUUAUCCUACAGCUAUAAGGUGAUAAGAUCAUGACAGUUAAAUGGCAUUCCUGGAACAGAGCAAAAUGGAAGGGGUGGUCAGGUCUGCAAAAUGCAGUUUGGCAACAAAUUCUAUCCUGAUAUCUCCCAUGUUCUCUACUGGGUACCUCCUACUAAGCUUGGGUACUUUGUUUCCUUUGCAAAUGCAGACUUUUGCACUUUACAGUAAUCAGCUGAUAUGACUGCAAUGAACUAUGGCUUCACUGGAUAGAACCUUUGAAAUCAAGGGUAUUAACUUGACUCUUUUUUUCUCAGGUAAUAAUGAGUAGACAUUCCAGCUAUAAAAAAAGACUUAAUAGAUUCCAAGCUUUUAUACUCUUUGGAAGCAGUAAUAAAAAAAAAAUAAAAAGAGGAACUGGCACAGAUGCAGCUGUGCUUGAUUUCAUUCUUUCUGAGGGGUGUUAAGGUUUUUGACAGCCUGGCCAAAUGAUCCAAGGGGACAAAUGCACCCACUCUGUGUGAGGUCGGGGACAGGGAUGGCAAGGUAGAUACGCUGUCUGUUUGAUGCAGAUUUGGGCUGAAAUGUUCAGAUCUACAACCUGUUCUCAGUCUUUUGAAAAUCAAGGCAUGUACAUGGUUGAUGAUAGCCUUUGGUGUCUGCUUACGAUUCUCCAGAUGACAUGUUGGCAGAGCAUUUAGCCAGAACAUUUUUAGCACCACAGAAAGUAGCUUGUAUAAAAGGUGACCAUGAAAUAAUUUGGGCUCAUUUGUGAGCUUGUAGCUUAUCUCAUUUGUUUUCAGAGUCACAGGAAGGAAAAUGACUUAAGAUUACAUCAGAGGUUGGACUCCCUGGCUUUGAGUCUUGGUGCUAUGGCUUACUAGCUUUGUAGCUUUUAACAAAUUAUGUAAAAUCCCUACGCUUUUCUACACCUGUGAAAUGGAGAUAAUAAAAACAGUACACAUAGGAUUAUUGCUGGAAUUAAAAAGAUGCAUUUUAUUUGAAGUAUUUAUGACAUUGCUUGCCAUAUUGUAAAUAUACAAUAAAUGUUCGAUACAUGCAAAAUCAGCAUCAUUCUUACAAAUAAUUUGAGAGCCUGCUCUGAAUCUAGUGCAGUGCAAACAACUGGAUAUAUGUAGGUUUACAAGGUACUAGGUGCUGCCUCCCAGAAGUUCAAAGUGUAGUGGUUGAAACAGAUGUAAAAAUAGAUAGAGAAUCAUUAGUAAGAGUACCAGGAUAGUUGGCUAGCUGUAUGGGAGUGGAGGGUGGGGGGGAAAGAUGGAGGUAAGUGGACCAAAUAGUGGGAAGGUCAGCAGUGGGAGUUUCAUGGAGCUGAAAUAACUUAAAGCAAUUCUCAGUGAUUCCCAGUGAUAUGAUGGGAAGGCCAUUGAUGUAAAAUAUUGACGUAGAUUAAGUAUGCAUGUGUUGUGUCUUAGAAG